This 279-nucleotide ribosomal RNA is filed under the name Phocaeicola dorei DSM 17855. RNAcentral's name for it is "partial 16S ribosomal RNA". It matches the Rfam family "Bacterial small subunit ribosomal RNA", at positions 498 to 776 of the family's 1533-position model. Lineage: Bacteria; Pseudomonadati; Bacteroidota; Bacteroidia; Bacteroidales; Bacteroidaceae. The record is from RNAcentral.
UAUGGUAAUGCCAGCAGCCGCGGUAAUACGGAGGAUCCGAGCGUUAUCCGGAUUUAUUGGGUUUAAAGGGAGCGUAGAUGGAUGUUUAAGUCAGUUGUGAAAGUUUGCGGCUCAACCGUAAAAUUGCAGUUGAUACUGGAUGUCUUGAGUGCAGUUGAGGCAGGCGGAAUUCGUGGUGUAGCGGUGAAAUGCUUAGAUAUCACGAAGAACUCCGAUUGCGAAGGCAGCCUGCUAAGCUGCAACUGACAUUGAGGCUCGAAAGUGUGGGUAUCAAACAGG